ACCCCUUGUGGCAUAAUCGGUCAGUGUGUCUGGCUGUUAACCAGAAGGUUGGUGGUUUGAAACCACCCAGAGACG
Non-coding RNA from Podarcis lilfordi (Lilford's wall lizard), 75 nucleotides. The record is from the annotation of a GenBank genome assembly. Lineage: Eukaryota; Metazoa; Chordata; Lepidosauria; Squamata; Lacertidae.